AUUGCUCGACAUCUCUUCCUCCCUGCGGUGAUUCAAACUGGUUUGCUUGUGAAGCUGUUUCAUCUUGUGGUUAAAAACAAAACACAACGCUACCGUGUGUUUUUGACCGAGGAAUGUUUUGGGUAACUGCAAAAUAGAUACUUUCUUUUCUCUUUUUAAUCACACGAUCUUUUUCUGCCUUUUCUGAUGCACAGUGCGAAUGAAUGCAGAUGAUUAUUGUUAUAGAGAUGGAACACGAACACUCAACAGAAAGCGUGAAAUUGAAGGUACUCUGCCCCCGCCAUGGAUGCCACUUUUUCUAUCUUUCUAUCGAUCUUU
This 318-nucleotide long non-coding RNA is filed under the name Phaseolus vulgaris (common bean). RNAcentral describes it as "long non-coding RNA (PVUL_LNC002326)". The record is from RNAcentral. Lineage: Eukaryota; Viridiplantae; Streptophyta; Magnoliopsida; Fabales; Fabaceae.